Long non-coding RNA from Etheostoma spectabile (orangethroat darter), 533 nucleotides. RefSeq lists it as uncharacterized. The transcript has 3 exons. The record is from RefSeq and is a predicted model, not a curated record. NCBI's taxonomy places the organism in Eukaryota, Metazoa, Chordata, Actinopteri, Perciformes, Percidae.
UCCGACCAGACACAUAAAAAACAUCGGCUUAAACCUUAAGGCCGUUUUAUGGUUGAGCGUAGAAUGGACGGCGUACCCCCUCAGACCCCUCUGCGUCUACGCCGGGCCCUAGUCUGUAGCCUGAUGUGCACCUCGCGAAAAAUGUAACAAUGUGUCACAGCGAUGCUCGUCGCUCGGCCGUGGCUUGGUAGCGUUGCAUUUUGUCCGACUUACUUCCUGGUUCUCCUUCUCCAGAAACAACAUGAAACCAAGGACAUGGUUAACUUUUACAGAUGUCUCACCGGGGUCAGAAAACACAGGGGAGACACUUUGUUUUUCUCACUACCCUAGAGUCGGUACUCGCUACGAAGCUAAUCAAUGUCACUCUCUCACUUCUCCCUCGCUCUAUCACCCCCCCCCAACACACACACACACACACACACACACAUGCCACAACAGCGCACAAGUAUAAACACCAGGCCACUUACGUAGGCUAAGGCGAAAGUUCUACGUGGAGCCUCCACACAAGCGUGAAACGGCCUUUAGACUACAUC